RNAcentral lists this transfer RNA (72 nucleotides) under Camelus bactrianus (Bactrian camel). It matches the Rfam family "tRNA". From Rfam's summary of the family: Transfer RNA (tRNA) molecules are approximately 80 nucleotides in length. Their secondary structure includes four short double-helical elements and three loops (D, anti-codon, and T loops). Further hydrogen bonds mediate the characteristic L-shaped molecular structure. tRNAs have two regions of fundamental functional importance: the anti-codon, which is responsible for specific mRNA codon recognition, and the 3' end, to which the tRNAs corresponding amino acid is attached (by aminoacyl-tRNA synthetases). tRNAs cope with the degeneracy of the genetic code in two manners: having more than one tRNA (with a specific anti-codon) for a particular amino acid; and 'wobble' base-pairing, i.e. permitting non-standard base-pairing at the 3rd anti-codon position. Lineage: Eukaryota; Metazoa; Chordata; Mammalia; Artiodactyla; Camelidae. RNAcentral also lists the same sequence under 2 other names. The record is from Rfam by way of RNAcentral.
GAGGGUACAGCUCAGUGGUAGAGCAGGCGCUUAGCAUGCACGAGGUCCUGGGUUCCAUCCCCAGUACCUCCA